RNAcentral lists this transfer RNA (72 nucleotides) under Marmota monax (woodchuck). RNAcentral's name for it is "tRNA.Met". The stretch from base 8 to 64 matches the Rfam family "tRNA", at positions 8 to 63 of the family's 71-position model. From Rfam's summary of the family: Transfer RNA (tRNA) molecules are approximately 80 nucleotides in length. The record is from RNAcentral. Lineage: Eukaryota; Metazoa; Chordata; Mammalia; Rodentia; Sciuridae.
AGGAUUAUGGCUCAGUGGUAGAGCGCUUGCCUCAUAUGUAUGAGGCACUGAGUUCGAGUCUCAGAAUUGCAU